GUGCCAGCCACCGCGGUUAUACGAGUUGGCCCAAGUUGACAGACAACGGCGUAAAGAGUGGUUAAGGAAAAUAAAAACUAAAGCCGAACACCUUCAAAGCUGUCAUACGCUCCCGAAGAUAUGAAGCCCAACCACGAAAGUGACUUUACAUAACCUGAACCCACGAAAGCUAAGAAACAAACUGGGAUUAGAUACCCCACUAUG
RNAcentral lists this ribosomal RNA (204 nucleotides) under Trachinotus carolinus (Florida pompano). RNAcentral describes it as "partial small subunit ribosomal RNA". The record is from RNAcentral. Lineage: Eukaryota; Metazoa; Chordata; Actinopteri; Carangiformes; Carangidae.